UCAAACUUGGUCAUUUAGAGGAAGUAAAAGUCGUAACAAGGUUUCCGUAGGUGAACCUGCGGAAGGAUCAUUAUUGAAUACUACUUGAUGGGUUGUAGCUGACUCUCUCUUGAGUAUGUGCACGCCUGUCUUGUAUUCUAUUCAUCCACCUGUGCACCAUUUGUAGUCUUUGAGGGAUGAGUGAAGUGACUAUGGAUUGCAUGUAUUUGCUCUCUUUAACAAGUCAUGAAUCUCCCUUUGAAGUCUAUGUCUUUUCUCAUAAACGAAUGUUAUAGAAUGUAUUCAAUGGGCCUCUGUGCCUAUAAAAUCUUAUACAACUUUCAGCAACGGAUCUCUUGGCUCUCGCAUCGAUGAAGAACGCAGC
This 364-nucleotide unclassified non-coding RNA is filed under the name uncultured fungus. RNAcentral describes it as "partial contains small subunit ribosomal RNA, internal transcribed spacer 1, and 5.8S ribosomal RNA". The stretch from base 1 to 73 matches the Rfam family "Eukaryotic small subunit ribosomal RNA", at positions 1759 to 1831 of the family's 1831-position model. The record is from RNAcentral. Lineage: Eukaryota; Fungi.